UAGUCUCGCACAGAUGCAUAUCAAUAAGCGGAGGAAAAGGAAACUAACAAGGAUUCCCCUAGUAACGGCGAGUGAAGCGGGAAGAGCUCAAAUUUGAAAUCUUAAAGGGUUUCCCUUUACGAAUUGUAGUUUAAAGAAGUGUUUUCUGUUGAGGUUUUGGUAAAAGUUCUUUGGAAUAGGACAUCAUAGAGGGUGAGAAUCCCGUAUUUGACCUUUACUUUCAACUUUGCGAUACACUUUCUAAGAGUCGGAUUGUUUGGGAAUGCAGUCCAAAAUGGGUGGUAAAUUUCAUCUAAAGCUAAAUAUUGGCGAGAGACCGAUAGCGAACAAGUACCGUGAGGGAAAGAUGAAAAGAACUUUGAAAAGAGAGUUAAACAGUACGUGAAAUUGUCAAAAGGGAAGCGUUUGACACCAGUGUUGUUUUUCUGAAAAUCAAUUAAAGAACUGUUUAUGCUAAGCUGUUUAGACUUUAUCAGCUAACUGUUUAGUUUUGAGCUUUUCUUUAAUGCACUUUUCAGUUAACAAGUCAACAUCAAUUUCUUUUGCUGUAAAAAAGCUUGAGGAAGGUGGCUUGAGAUUCGUCUUAAGUGUUUAUAGCCUCUUGCCUAUGCAGUCGGAGAGAUUGAGGUCUGCAGCGUAGAUCCUUCGGGGCUAAAUGCAUUUGUGCUAAGUUAUAGCAUUUUAUAGACAACUUGUUGACUAUGAUUUGUCUUGUAGCUUACUCGCUUAUGUUAUUUUACCUACGCUUAGGAUGUUGAUCUGUAGUGCGUGCGC
This 774-nucleotide ribosomal RNA is filed under the name uncultured Neocallimastigales. RNAcentral describes it as "partial large subunit ribosomal RNA". It matches the Rfam family "Eukaryotic large subunit ribosomal RNA", at positions 24 to 646 of the family's 3401-position model. Lineage: Eukaryota; Fungi; Neocallimastigomycota; Neocallimastigomycetes; Neocallimastigales. The record is from RNAcentral.